GGCGGAUGGUUCAGAUUUCGUCUGUUCUGUCUGCCCGGACGAUUUUGUUGGUUCGUUCGUGGUUCUCUUAACCGAGUGCCACGGGUGGCCAGCACGUUUACUUUGAAAAAAUUGGAGUGCUCAAAGCAGUCGCUACAGCCUGAACAUUAGUGCAUGGAAUAAUGGAAUAGGAUCUCGGUUCUAUUUCGUUGGCUUUCGGAGUCGAGGUAAUGAUUAAUAGGAACAGACGGGGGCAUUCGUACUGCGACGUUAGAGGUGAAAUUCUUGGAUCGUCGCAAGACGAACUACUGCGAAAGCAUUUGCCAAGAAUGUUUUCAUUAAUCAAGAACGAAAGUUAGAGGUUCGAAGGCGAUCAGAUACCGCCCUAGUUCUAACCAUAAACGUUGCCAACUGGUGAUCUGCCGUCGUUACUUGUAUGACUCGGCAGGCAACCUCCGGGAAACCAAAGUCUUUGGGUUCCGGGGGAAGUAUGGUUGCAAAGCUGAACUUAAAGGAAUUGACGGAAGGCACCAC
This 513-nucleotide ribosomal RNA is filed under the name uncultured eukaryote. RNAcentral's name for it is "SSU rRNA". It matches the Rfam family "Eukaryotic small subunit ribosomal RNA", at positions 649 to 1170 of the family's 1831-position model. The record is from RNAcentral.